Ciona intestinalis (vase tunicate) is the source of this 481-nucleotide non-coding RNA. The record is from RefSeq and is a predicted model, not a curated record. NCBI's taxonomy places the organism in Eukaryota, Metazoa, Chordata, Ascidiacea, Phlebobranchia, Cionidae.
AUUAUUCAAUGCCACAGCAGUCAUACAAAACAUUCAAAGAUUUAGUUGGAAACUACAAACAGCAUCAGAAUUGUGAAAAAUUGUACAUGGAGUAUAACAAGCUUUGUAUGAAUGCAGAUGAAAAUCUAGGAAUGCCACAACACUUGGCUGCUCAAAUUUUAAUAAAAAUUCUGGAUGCAAUCGCAAACCAAAAACGCACAACAUACCAAUGCUGCUGGUUACAAUAUCGAGAACAUAGGCGAACGUGAUCUAGAAAUACUUGAAUAUAUUAGUGGAUUCUUAAUUAAAAAGGCCAUAAAACAUUACAAAACCCAUCACCAAAUCAUUCUGUCAAGAUGAGCCAAGUUAUAAAUUUGUUUCUGCAAUGAGAAAAUCGGAAAAUGCAUUUCACUGUCUUAAUUCUAUUUUUAAAACAUUCAUGAAUAAAGUUUUUAUGUUGUAUGAGGUAGAGACAUCCAAGCAACCAGAUAAUAUCAAUUUG